RNAcentral lists this ribosomal RNA (1009 nucleotides) under uncultured Lactobacillus sp. RNAcentral describes it as "bacterial SSU rRNA". The stretch from base 1 to 750 matches the Rfam family "Bacterial small subunit ribosomal RNA". The record is from RNAcentral. Lineage: Bacteria; Bacillati; Bacillota; Bacilli; Lactobacillales; Lactobacillaceae.
GACGAACGCUGGCGGCUGCUUAACACAUGCAAGUCGAACGAGCUGAUUCCUUCGGGAUGAAAGCGAGUGGCGAACGGGUGAGUAAUGUAUGAGUAACCUGCCUCUGUCUACGGGAUAACAUUUGGAAACAAGUGCUAAUACGGUAUAAGACCACAGCACCGCAUGGUGCAGGGGUAAAAGAUUUAUCGGACAGAGAUGGACUCAUAUCCCAUUAGCUAGUUGGUGAGAUAAUAGCCCACCAAGGCGACGAUGGGUAGCCGAGCUGAGAGGCUGAUCGGCCACAUUGGAACUGAAACACGGUCCAGACUCCUACGGGAGGCAGCAGUGGGGAAUAUUGGGCAAUGGAGGAAACUCUGACCCAGCAAUGCCGCGUGAGCGAUGAAGGUCAUCGAUUGUUAAGCUCUUUUCCUGGGAACGAAACAAAUGACGGGACCCAGGGAAUAAGCCCCGGCUAACUACGUGCCAGCAUCCGCGGUAAUACGUAGGGUGCGAGCGUUGUCCGUAAUGACUGGGCGUAAAGGGUGCGUUGGUGUUUUAAUAAGUUAGAAGUGUAAUUCCCAUGGCUUAACUCGUGUGCUGCUUCUUGAACUGUUAUGGCUUGAGUGUUGUAUAAGAUAGCUGAUUUCUAUGUGUUCGUUUGAAUUGCUUAGAUACACUGAAGAACCUUCUGUGGUCCUAGUCGGUUGUCUGGAUUGUUGUUGACAUUGUUGUGCCUGAAGCUUUUGUACCAAUCAAGAUCUCAUAUCCUCUAUGUCUCUGGGCUAAUUCUGUCCUGGUUAUUUGGCCUAUGUAUUCUGCUUGCCCUAUGCUGCGUAUACAGUUGUGUGCUUCUGUCUCUUUGUGUGUUGCUGUGUGUACUGUGCUCCUGUUCCUUCACAUGUGACUGGUUGUGUGUAGGAGUUGAUUCUGCUUGCUUUGUGUUGUUUCCUGUGCUGUAUCUUCUGCCUUGUGUAUACUCUGUUAUCUGCUUGCCUCUGUCUCCAAUGCUCAUGCCCUGACCGCACUUGCU